GCAGCAGGGAACUGGACCUGGACUCCAAGCUGGCAUACAAAUAAUGACCUUUCAGAUUCCAGAUCAAAGGAUCCGGCCAUCCUUCCUAUGUCUAAGGGCACCGUUAGGCUCCAAAUGUUCAGAAGUAUCAUCACUUGCAAACAUUUGAGAACCAAUUAUGACUGUUUUGCCAUUACUGAGACACAGAAUGCUGUAGCUGUAUAAGCCACUGCAACACUACAGACAACCUCUUUCCUUCAGUCUCACUUACUGAGGAAAUAUUAAC
This is a long non-coding RNA of Alligator sinensis (Chinese alligator), 265 nucleotides long. RefSeq lists it as uncharacterized. NCBI's taxonomy places the organism in Eukaryota, Metazoa, Chordata, Crocodylia, Alligatoridae. The record is from RefSeq and is a predicted model, not a curated record. The transcript is spliced from 3 exons.